This 205-nucleotide ribosomal RNA is filed under the name uncultured fungus. RNAcentral's name for it is "partial 18S ribosomal RNA". The stretch from base 58 to 205 matches the Rfam family "Eukaryotic small subunit ribosomal RNA", at positions 738 to 887 of the family's 1831-position model. The record is from RNAcentral. Lineage: Eukaryota; Fungi.
UGGUGUCACUGGUUCCUCCCUUCUGAAGAACCGUCAUGCCAUUCAGUUGGUGUGGCGGGGAAUCAGGACUGUUACUUUGAAAAAAUUAGAGUGUUUAAAGCAGGCUCGCGCUUGAAUACAUUAGCAUGGAAUAAUGAAAUAGGACGUUUGACCCUAUUUUGUUGGUUUCUAGGAUCGACGUAAUGAUUAAUAGGGAUAGUUGGGA